AUAGAUGUCGUCUUUGGUAGUUGGCAUUCUUCCCAGAGGAAGAUAAUGGGAAUCAGACAUGCUUCUGAUUGUCCCACCAGCCAGCUGCCGGUUUCAGCCCAAGCCAUUCUGAAUUGGAGGAUGAUGGUCUAGCUUUACUUCUCAAAUAGGCUACUCCUUCCCACAUGGUCAGGUAGCACUCAAAAUGUCACAGGGGAAAAAGUUUCUAUAGAAAAUGGAAGACAAUGUCUAAAUUCAGCGGCCUAAGUAGGUGGUAGUAAAGAUGUGGCUGCUGCUUUAAUUCCAGCCUAGGUCAGUA
RNAcentral lists this long non-coding RNA (298 nucleotides) under Homo sapiens (human). RNAcentral describes it as "HSALNT0200270". The record is from RNAcentral. Lineage: Eukaryota; Metazoa; Chordata; Mammalia; Primates; Hominidae.